UACAGAGGGGGCAAGCGUUAUUCGGAAUUAUUGGGCGUAAAGGGCGCGUAGGCGGCUUGGCAAGUGGAAGGUGAAAUCCCUCGGCUUGACCGAGGAACUGCCCUCCAAACUGCUUCGCUUGAGACCGGGAGAGGUGAGUGGAAUUCCCAGUGUAGCGGUGAAAUGCGUAGAUAUUGGGAGGAACACCAGUGGCGAAGGCGGCUCACUGGACCGGUACUGACGCUGAUGCGCGAAAGCGUGGGGAGCAAACGGG
This 253-nucleotide ribosomal RNA is filed under the name uncultured bacterium. Its description in RNAcentral is "partial 16S ribosomal RNA". It matches the Rfam family "Bacterial small subunit ribosomal RNA", at positions 524 to 776 of the family's 1533-position model. The record is from RNAcentral.